CCGAAGCCGUUACAAUGUGAGCCCUAUUCUAUUGGCACUAUGGCCUUAUCCCUCACUUUCACCACCUCCUGAGGAGCCUCAGCAGCUUCCUCGGCAGAUGCAAUAUCUGGGCAACCUCCAGUAGGUCCACCGAACUUCGCCUCUAGAACAGAAGUGUCCAAUGUCAGGUGAACCUCCUUCAACCACUCCAGCAUCACUUAGGCAUUCCAGGAAGCCCAAUAGUUGGCGAAGGUGUCAUAUAAAGGAUGCAUCUCGAAGUGGUUAAAGACUCAAUCUCCUCCACUUGGGCCUCCACCCUCUACCUUAGCUCAGCCUUCUCUUUGUUCGAGGCUUCCAGAGCCUCCGUAACCAAACGGUGGUACUCGUUAGCGUGAUCAAGUUGCCUCGUCAAAGCGGCCACUUGGCUCUCCAUCUCAUGGAGCUCCUUCCUCAACCUCUCAACGUCGGAGUUAGCUCUCCCCAACUAGCUUUCUGCCUCUGCCCUCUUUCUCUCCACCUUAGCUGUCUUGGCCUCCGCCUCCCUCACUGCUUCCUCAUACAGCAAGUUCGCUUCUAACCGCU
Molecule: long non-coding RNA, 561 nt
Filed under: Olea europaea (common olive)
Lineage: Eukaryota; Viridiplantae; Streptophyta; Magnoliopsida; Lamiales; Oleaceae
Description: long non-coding RNA (OEUR_LNC003579)
Source: RNAcentral